This 1037-nucleotide ribosomal RNA is filed under the name uncultured Tulasnella. Its description in RNAcentral is "eukaryotic LSU rRNA". The stretch from base 387 to 1037 matches the Rfam family "Eukaryotic large subunit ribosomal RNA", at positions 1 to 656 of the family's 3401-position model. Lineage: Eukaryota; Fungi; Basidiomycota; Agaricomycetes; Cantharellales; Tulasnellaceae. The record is from RNAcentral.
CAUUCGAUGAAGACCGUUGCGGAUUGCGAUAAGUAAUGUGAAUUGCAGAAUUCAGUGAAUCAUCGAGUCUUUGAACGCACCUUGCACCCUCUGGUAUUCCGGAGGGUAUGCCCGGUUGAGAGUUUUGAAUAUCUCAAUUUCAAUGCUUUGUUAACAAGGCUUUUUCAGAGGACCUUCCUUGUCUAGCGAGACAUUGGGUUGGACUCGAUCAAGUCUGAGGUGUUGAAACUUGGACUUGAGCUCCGUUGGCCCUUUAGGUUGACCGGCUUGAAAUGCAUUAGCGAUGUCUGACCAAGGUGUCCUGAUUGGCGUGAUAAGCAUUGAUCGUCAUGAAAAGGUGCCGUUGUCUGUCGCUCCUAGCCGUCUUUGGACAAUACCUGACAUUUACACCUCAACUCGGGUAGGACUACCCGCUGAACUUAAGCAUAUCAAUAAGCGGAGGAAAAGAAACUAACAAGGAUUCCCCUAGUAACGGCGAGUGAAGCGGGAUGAGCUCAAAUUUUAAAUCUGGCGGUCUUUGGUCGUCCGAGUUGUAAAUUAUAGAAGCGUUUUCUGUGCCGGACCUGUCAUAAGUUAUCUUGAAUGAUACAUCAAAGAGGGUGAGAAUCCCGUGCUUUGGCAGGAACCACCGGGGCUAUAUGAUGCGCUCUCGACGAGUCGAGUUGUUUGUGAUUGCAGCUCUAAAUGGGAGGUAAAUUCCUUCUAAAGCUAAAUAUGUUGGAAUGACCGAUAGCGAACAAGUACCGUGAGGGAAAGAUGAAAAGAACUUUGGAAAGAGAGUUAAACAGUACGUGAAAUUGCUGGUGGGGAAACGCUUGAAGUCAGUCGCGUCUUCGGGGAUUCAGCCUUGCUUCUGCUAGGUGCAUUUUCCAGUUGAUGGGCCAGCGUUCAUUUUGAUCGUCGGAAAAGGGCAGCUUGAAUGUGGCAGCUCCGGCUGUGUUAUAGCUUGCUGUCGUACACUUCGGUCGGGAUGGAUCUAACGGCACGCUUUUCAGUGGUGCCUGCGCUGACAUAAUGGCUUUAAACGACCCGUCUUG